Molecule: long non-coding RNA, 3710 nt
Organism: Equus caballus (horse)
Lineage: Eukaryota; Metazoa; Chordata; Mammalia; Perissodactyla; Equidae
Source: Ensembl
GGCCGAAAGAGUUCUCCAAUGAGCUCGCCUGCGGACGGAGCGGGGCGGGGAAAUGGCCCGGUGAACGUCUAGGCGGCGGCGGCAGCGCCGACGAGGGGACAGCUGCGGGGCCGUCGUGGUGGGAGGCGUCUCUGAGCCGCGCCAGACUAGCCGAGCCUGGUGGAGUCCGGCCGCUCACUCCUGCUUUCUCCCGGACUCGUUCGUUCCCCCGGCGUCUGUCGACGCCGCUCCGUGUCCCCGCUGGGCACAGCAGCCCGGGCCCUCCACGUCCACGGCCGCUAGCCUGAGGAGGCCCUCCUUCAGCUCCCGCUCUUCCUCCUCGCCCGACGCAGACGACGAGGGCGUGCGCAGCACCUGCGAAGAUGCUUCUAUUUGCAAGAGAUUCAAGUCUCUCCUAUCAAAAACCAAUUUAGACUUACAUUCAGAGGAGACACUUCAAAUGGGAUUGUAGGAAACAUAUGUAUAUGUGCAUAUCUGCAGGAACUGUUUGCUCAAAGAAUUGGCCAUUAUGAAUUUUAGCUACUGCCCAACUGUUCUUCAAGACCUUUUUAUGAAUUCCUACUUUCACAAAGGCAAAUCCGCCCGCCGUACAAACUAUUGGGACUUCCUGGCUGAUUGUGGUGUGGAUGUUGAGACUGUGGAAGAGAAGGGAGAUGAACAUCUGUUGCGAAGGAGGCGCCGGUUAGAAAGGGCAGGGGUGCAGGAUGUAAAAACUCUUAGGACACCGACUGCCAUGCAGACCUUGAUGCUCCUGAUGCAAAAUCAACCCAGGGUUCCUGCAGCCACCGGGGGAUAGAAAGUCCUGGAGAUGGGGAACAUCCUCAGUCUUUUCUAGCAAGCCCAAACUCACCAGCGUCAUCUGUUUAACCGUUCCCUGUUCAUUUUGUUCUAACCUGAAAAUACUAAAGUCGGAUGUCAGACACGCAAAUACGUUUGAGGGCGAUUUUGAGAGAUUCCAGGAGAACUCAAAGCCCUUCAGUCAAUCUAGCUAUCCUGCUUCAUGCCUUAGCGUCCCCAACGCAGCAGAGCAGAGCCCCACAAGAGCCUGGGUUGGGAAACACCCCGCGGGCACCUGGGCUGGGGAUUCCCAGGCGUGGAGCUAGGCAGCUUCAGAAAGCACCCCGCCCGUCCCCCCACCCAGCCCAGCCGCCCAGGCUGCAUGAAGCGACGCCACUGCACCCCCGGCCCUGGCCGCUGUCUCGCUGCGCCGGGGAAGAGCCCGGCUGCAUGAUCCCCCUCCCCACUCUUCCCGCGCAGUCCGGGUGGCCCCCCACCACCCCCCCCUCAGCCUCCGGCAAGGGGACCGAGGGGGGCGCGCGGACCCGCCGGCUGCACCUGCUCCGUCUGCAGCGCCCCCGCUUCCCCGGCUCCGACGCGGCUCCUGCUUCAGCCUCUGCCGCCGCCGCCGCCGGGCCCUGUUGCAGCCCCGAGUUCCUUCCCCGCUGCUAACUUUCUGCGGGGAGAGAGAGGCGCGGAGAGGCCCGGGCGCGCGGUCCGCGCCGCCGAGGGAAGGGGGAGUGCGCCUCGCGCGCGCCUGCAGAGAGGGACGUGGAACAGAGGCGUGCGCUACGCCUGGGGCACCCGGCAAAGAGGAGAUCGUGCCCCCUCCCCCGCCCCCCCCACCACAUUCAUGCUGGAGAGGUUCCCCGCCCAACCCCGCGUGCUUCCCCUCCCCUGGGAGCCUUGGACGCCAGUUUCUCCUUCCCUCUCCUGAUACUUUCAGAGACUUAGAACCCGACGCCUGCCGCCAGUGCCGCCCAACAGGAAGCUGGGGGCCACAAGGUGGUGAGCUCUCGCUUCCCCUUUUCUCAUGGGACUCCAGGCAAACUCGGUCCAUCCGCGACCCGCCCUUCUCCCUCCCUGGACAUCCUCCUGCCUUUGACCCAGGAGGAAUUUCUUGUCCGUACCAGGUUUCCCAUCCCAACUUCCAUCUUUCCAGCCUCCCCAUCUUAGCUUGAAGCUCCUGAUUGGUGGAGCUUCGACACAAACCCCCAAAUUUCCUUGUCCUAGAGCUUUUGCCUCUGUCCCGCCACCGGUUGACUGUGCUUUCUGCUCCAAAAGGAGAGGCUGUCUCCUCCUCACACCCUGAACCACAGAUGCACAUGCGCCCCUUGGGGGCCAUUGACGCUAAAGGAGUUCAGAUUUCCCUGGACUAAAAUAUUAGACUGAGACUAUCAUCGCUCUGAACACCUUAUAAGCAGAGAGAACCUGUGUUGCUGUGUCUGUGCAUCGCUUCAUUGAAUUAAAAAAAAAAAGUAUCUUCUUUGCAGAGAGAUUUCCGUCCCUCACCUCCUUCUCCUGGGGGGAAUGGUAAACAUCAUAAGGCUUUGGAACAUUCAAGACUAGACUUUGCUUCCUGUUUCCUUUUGCUCAGGGAGGUGGAGGAAACGCGAGGCUGGAAUGGCAGGAAGAGGCAGAGCGGUCAACUGAGGCACUCCAGCGAACUCUGCUUCCUGGGGGCAGGGGCUGGCCCUGCAGGCACCUGGCGCCAGUCUUUCCCAGAGGCUGGCUCCAGUGAGUCCUGUUUACCCUGCUAGCCACAGCUGGGUGCCUGGAGGGUCUCCUUUCGCCUACAGGGCUGAUGUGGUUGGAAUCUCCAGUUUUGUUUGAUCACAUAACAGGGACAACAGUUGAAAGAAAAUGUAUAUAAUGUCUAAAUAUUAACUAGAUACCUAGUGCCAAAGAGAGAAAAAAAUGUUACUCCAAUAACGUGAACACAGACUUUUCCCUGAGUAAACAGAAGCUCACGGCUGCUCUCAGCUGGACGUGAGCUUCCUUCACUGCAGCUUCAGCUCAGAUAAAGAUUAUUCCUUUAGAAUAUAUUUUUUAUGGUACACCGGAGACCUCUGAAAUGCAGAGUCUGGUGUCCUGUAAAUCAUUUCGUGGAACUAGGGAUGCUUUUUCAAACACCACGCGACUGCACUCCUGUAAUGUUAAUGGGAAGGGGCCAACUGGAGCUGGGAGCAGCACAGCUUGCCCAUCCCUCCUUCGGCUCCAAGCCCAGCUCUGGGUGGUCGCCCAGGAGGGCCCGGUUGCAGCAAAUAUUGUCACUGCCAUAGUCCAUCUCCCUUUCAAAGCUCAGGCGCCAGGAUGCCCAGCACGUGGUCCAGGGGCCUCCCUACAGUCCCUGCCCAGCUCCCAGACUUCUCUGUGCCCGCUCUCGGCAAUCCAAAUGAACCUGCUCUGUAGCUAGUUUUACUAAAGAUGUGCUUUCAAAUUUGGAAAGGUUUUGAUGAAAUGGUACUAAUAUUUAACCUAGAGGUGGCAAACUGGUAACAAAUUAAGAACUGAAUGUGGCCAGCGCAGCGAUAUUAAGAAGUUUAAAAUGGUUGUGAUGUUGUAAAAUUGAGGACUUUCCCAAAAAAUUUGGCUAUGAGUUUUCUGCUGAAAUACUGGAUCCAGCAACUUUGGGCCCCUCAGCCAGAACCGAGAGACCCCCUGACAUGGAGCAUGUGCCCUGUUCUUCAUGGUGCCCCCCCAGAGUGCCCUCAUACAUUUAGGUUACUUGCCUGGAUGCUGCUAAUGAGGACACUUCCCAGUGUCCCUUCUCCCUCUUGUCCACAGAUAGUCCUACUUAAAUAAGAGACUCUUGAAAGAACGGAACCCCAUUGGUGAAAUGUUAGGCCCCACAACUGAUGGGGAAGAGGUGAUUUUGGGGGAGAGGAGCUUUGUAGAUUUCUCACUUGGGCACUUACCUGUUUUGUUCUCCA